Molecule: small RNA, 78 nt
Filed under: Pectobacterium carotovorum subsp. carotovorum
Lineage: Bacteria; Pseudomonadati; Pseudomonadota; Gammaproteobacteria; Enterobacterales; Pectobacteriaceae
Also listed under: 1 other name
Description: isrK
Rfam family: isrK Hfq binding RNA
Source: RNAcentral
GUUGCCGCAAAAUCGGCAACCGGGCGUAGGAACUCGAUAUGUUUACAGGCGACAUCAGACGCGCCAUGCGUCUUUUUU